Frankliniella occidentalis (western flower thrips) is the source of this 1596-nucleotide RNA transcript. RefSeq lists it as uncharacterized. The record is from RefSeq and is a predicted model, not a curated record. Lineage: Eukaryota; Metazoa; Arthropoda; Insecta; Thysanoptera; Thripidae. The transcript is spliced from 4 exons.
GAUCACUUUCGUUACUGGUUGGUUUUUCCUUCCAUUUUUAUUUAUUUCUGUCCGUAGUCUAAGGUGACCGUUGGUUUUUUAAAUUGAGGCGCCUAACGGUACAGUUUUAAGCUUCGCGCUUGUGCGCUCGAGUUCGAAUUUCCCACCCUUCCCUCCUCGUGACGUUUUUCAUACCUUUUGAAUUUGGCGCGCUGAGCGGCCAUGCCUGAUUCUCAUAUUGGAGAUUUGGCGCGAGAAGCGGCCAUGACAGUUUGCCAUACUGGCUCUUUUGGCGCGCGGCGCCACGGGAACGUUCUGGGAAGCAGUGAGAGCGGUGACAGUCAGUUUCCGGUCUGCGAUUCCGUGGAGAGAACAUGUAGUGGAGAGCAAGUGAUUUUAUCUGAGAUCAUCCGUGAUAUUAUUUUAUCUGGGACUUAUCCGUCUUCAGUUUUGGAAUCAGCAAUGCUUUAUUUUGGAUUGGAGAGAUGUUCGGUGUUGAUCUGUUUGCUCCGAGUUCCUUUUUAUUAGUGAUUUGUUCACUUUAUUUUAUUGCUUGGAGCUCUGGUUUUGGACCCGAUGUCACUGUGGCGCUCCGCAUGGAUCCCAGUGCUUGAUUAUAACACCUGAUCGGGUCCUUGGUUAUGAUAUAACCUGUAUUUGUUUAUGGUGAUGUUCGAGGUUAUGCUCUCUACCUUGACAUGUGUUCAUGUUUGACUUCUGAUUUUAACCUUAUGGCUCUGCCUGCUAUGAUUCGUCUCGUCUCAUGUGACGUUGUUUCUCUCAAGAGCCUUGAGGAUUUUCUCGUUGUUUUGCGAGUUUAGAACCCGUUUGUUUGGUUCUGUGUUGUUGAGUCAACAUGUUUAGUGUUUGUUAGUAUUUAAUCAUUCUGAAUACUCUAGUUUUACUAGAACACCUAUGCUUACUUCUGGUUCACAUUUGAGCCGAGUUUUGAGUUGAGAUUUUGAGAGAUUGAGUAAGGAACUUGUUUGUUCUUGAGUUUGUUGUUGGCUGUGUUUAGAGCCUUGUUAUAGAGAUUAUAUGGAGCGAGUUUUGCUCUAGUUAGAGGCUGGUCCUCUGGUUUUUAAUUUAAGUAUUUGUAUGGCUUUUGGCCUCUGUUUUUUGAAGUUGUGAACUUGUGGUUCAUAUUUUAGUUUUAGUGUUUGAACUUUGUGUUUUGAGGUUCUUCUGGAGUCAGUAUUUGUAUUCCUACAUUGUGUGAAAUUGUUGCCAUUGCAUUAUUAAAGCCACUUGUUAUUGUUUAACCAUUUAAGAUCUACUAGUAGCCUGUUCCUUUGACGGUGACUUGUCACCUGGCGCCCAUAUUUCUUUUGAGGACUUUAAAGUCAAAGCGUACCCUCCCAACCUACCACCUGGCUUGCCGGAGCGGUUAACAAUAACUUAACUUUAGUUUUCUGGGCUUUACUUAUUUUUGAGGCUACACUUCUUGCAUUUCUUGUCUUUCACCGUGUCUUACACCUUGUCUUUCGCCUUCAUAGGCUUUUGCUACACUUUAUAGUAGUCAGAGCAUCUGUUAUCGUUUGAAGCCCUAGCUUGAGUAGGAGGAGGCAACAUGCCCCCUUUCUCCUCUUCCUCCGAGCUGCUACUGAUUGCCAAAAA